GUGUUUGCUUCGACAGCAUGUACACUAAAAUUGGAACAACCCAGAGAAGAUAAACACGGCCCCGGCACGAGGAUGACAUGCAAACUCAUGAAAUGUUCCAUGCUGUU
Peromyscus californicus insignis is the source of this 107-nucleotide small nuclear RNA. The record is from RefSeq and is a predicted model, not a curated record. NCBI's taxonomy places the organism in Eukaryota, Metazoa, Chordata, Mammalia, Rodentia, Cricetidae.